UUGAACCUUGGGUUUGGUUGGUCGGUCCGCCUCACCGCGUGCACUGAUCCGACCGAAUCUUUCCUUCUGGGGAACCGUAUGCUCUUCAUUGGGUGUACUGGAGAACCAGGACUUUUA
RNAcentral lists this ribosomal RNA (117 nucleotides) under uncultured Ascomycota. RNAcentral describes it as "partial 18S ribosomal RNA". The record is from RNAcentral. Lineage: Eukaryota; Fungi; Ascomycota.